GUAAAAUACACAGAUAACGGAAAGCUUUAAUUCCAGUGAAGUUCUGGCAGCAUUGACAUCAUGCAUCAUAACUUGAGAAUGAGGUAAGAGAAUGACAAUUGAAGCUUGAACCCACUGCUUUUGAAACACAGAUUUGAGAAGAUGGCCUGGUCUCUGGCACAUGAAACUAGGCCUCUGAAGAGAAGUUUCAUCUAUGAAAAAUUCACCCAACACAUAAAAUAUAGCCCAUAUUAUUUAAAUCUCCCUUAAUCAAGUAUAAUAAAUACUCUACAAAAUUAGAGCAUGAUGAAAUUCAAGGUUGAAAAGUAAUGCAUUUGGUCACUUUUCAUUUUCUAUCCCAUUAUGGUGACUAUUGUGGAUGGGAGAAUAUUAAUUCCUCAGAAGCCAACAGUCCAUUCAGUCCAAGAGACAACUUGGUGUUUGCUGCUAUAUGAUCAUGAACAGAAGGAUCCGCUUUCUGCUUGGAUGUUGGUGGGGCAUGUAAUCCUGGUCACAGCUACAAUAGCUUUUACUUUUCAACCCCUCACUGUUUGUAGAAGAUGGGAUUUAGUAUUUUGUUCGGGUAUCAGAGGUAACAUAAACUUUGAACUUACUUUUAAAAAGUGCGAGAUUGGGGCGCCUGGGUGGCGCAGUUGGUUAAGCGUCCGACUUCAGCCAAGUCACGAUCUCGCGGUCCGUGAGUUCGAGCCCCGCGUCAGGCUCUGGGCGGAUGGCUCAGAGCCUGGAGCCUGUUUCUGA
Molecule: long non-coding RNA, 738 nt
Filed under: Felis catus (domestic cat)
Lineage: Eukaryota; Metazoa; Chordata; Mammalia; Carnivora; Felidae
Description: lncRNA (ENSFCAG00000041241.2)
Source: RNAcentral